CGCGUAGGCGGUGGUAUAAGUCUGGGGUGGAAUCCUAAAGCUUAACUAUAGGACUGCCCUGGAAACUGUAUUACUUGAGUCGGUGAGGGGAAGGCGGAAUUCCUGGUGUAGCGGUGAAAUGCGUAGAUAUCAGGAGGAAGGCCUGUGGUGAAGACGGCCUUCUGGCACUUGACUGACGCUGAGGCGCGAAAGCGUGGGGAGCAAACAGGAUUAGAUACCCUGGUAGUCCACGCCCUAAACGGUGGGCACUAGGUGUGGGAUCUGUAAGGGUUCUGUGCCGAAGGGAAACCAUUAAGUGCCCCGCCUGGGAAGUACGGCCGCAAGGUUGAA
Molecule: ribosomal RNA, 330 nt
Filed under: uncultured bacterium
Lineage: Bacteria
Description: bacterial SSU rRNA
Rfam family: Bacterial small subunit ribosomal RNA
Source: RNAcentral